UACGUAGGGUGCAAGCGUUAAUCGGAAUUACUGGGCGUAAAGCGAGCGUAGUCGGUUAUUUAAGUCGGAUGUGAAAGCCCCGGGCUCAACCUGGGAAUUGCACUCGAUACUGGAUAGCUAGAGUUCGGCAGAGGGAAGCGGAAUUUCCGGUGUAGCGGUGAAAUGCGUAGAUAUCGGAAGGAACAUCAGUGGCGAAAGCGGCUUCCUGGACCAGAACUGACGAUCAGGCUCGAAAGCGUGGGGAGCAAACAGG
Molecule: ribosomal RNA, 253 nt
Filed under: uncultured bacterium
Lineage: Bacteria
Description: partial 16S ribosomal RNA
Rfam family: Bacterial small subunit ribosomal RNA
Source: RNAcentral